Molecule: ribosomal RNA, 1048 nt
Filed under: uncultured bacterium
Lineage: Bacteria
Description: bacterial SSU rRNA
Rfam family: Bacterial small subunit ribosomal RNA
Source: RNAcentral
CUCCUACGGGAGGCAGCAGUGGGGAAUAUUGCACAAUGGGCGCAAGCUGAUGCAGCGACGCCGCGUGCGGGAUGACGGCCUUCGGGUUGUAAACCGCUUUUGAUCGGGAGCAAGCCUUCGGGUGAGUGUACCUUUCGAAUAAGCACCGGCUAACUACGUGCCAGCAGCCGCGGUAAUACGUAGGGUGCAAGCGUUAUCCGGAAUUAUUGGGCGUAAAGGGCUCGUAGGCGGUUCGUCGCGUCCGGUGUGAAAGUCCAUCGCUUAACGGUGGAUCUGCGCCGGGUACGGGCGGGCUGGAGUGCGGUAGGGGAGACUGGAAUUCCCGGUGUAACGGUGGAAUGUGUAGAUAUCGGGAAGAACACCAAUGGCGAAGGCAGGUCUCUGGGCCGUUACUGACGCUGAGGAGCGAAAGCGUGGGGAGCGAACAGGAUUAGAUACCCUGGUAGUCCACGCCGUAAACGGUGGAUGCUGGAUGUGGGGCCCGUUCCACGGGUUCCGUGUCGGAGCUAACGCGUUAAGCAUCCCGCCUGGGGAGUAUGGCCGCAAGGCUAAAACUCAAAGAAAUUGACGGGGGCCCGCACAAGCGGCGGAGCAUGCGGAUUAAUUCGAUGCAACGCGAAGAACCUUACCUGGGCUUGACAUGUUCCCGACAGCCGUAGAGAUGCGGCCUCCCUUCGGGGCGGGUUCACAGGUGGUGCAUGGUCGUCGUCAGCUCGUGUCGUGAGAUGUUGGGUUAAGUCCCGCAACGAGCGCAACCCUCGCCCUGUGUUGCCAGCACGUCAUGGUGGGAACUCACGGGGGACCGCCGGGGUCAACUCGGAGGAAGGUGGGGAUGACGUCAGAUCAUCAUGCCCCUUACGUCCAGGGCUUCACGCAUGCUACAAUGGCCGGUACAACGGGAUGCGACAUGGCGACAUGGAGCGGAUCCCUGAAAACCGGUCUCAGUUCGGAUUGGAGUCUGCAACCCGACUCCAUGAAGGCGGAGUCGCUAGUAAUCGCGGAUCAGCAACGCCGCGGUGAAUGCGUUCCCGGGCCUUGUACACACCGC